RNAcentral lists this ribosomal RNA (253 nucleotides) under uncultured bacterium. RNAcentral's name for it is "partial 16S ribosomal RNA". It matches the Rfam family "Bacterial small subunit ribosomal RNA", at positions 524 to 777 of the family's 1533-position model. The record is from RNAcentral.
UACGAAGGGGGCUAGCGUUGUUCGGAUUUACUGGGCGUAAAGCGCACGUAGGCGGAUUGGUCAGUUAGGGGUGAAAUCCUGGAGCUCAACUCCAGAACUGCCUUUAAUACUGCCAAUCUCGAGUCCGGAAGAGGUAAGUGGAACUCCUAGUGUAGAGGUGGAAUUCGUAGAUAUUAGGAAGAACACCAGUGGCGAAGGCGGCUUACUGGUCCGGUACUGACGCUGAGGUGCGAAAGCGUGGGAGCAAACAGGA